This 56-nucleotide transfer RNA is filed under the name Mus musculus (house mouse). It matches the Rfam family "tRNA", at positions 9 to 63 of the family's 71-position model. From Rfam's summary of the family: Transfer RNA (tRNA) molecules are approximately 80 nucleotides in length. Their secondary structure includes four short double-helical elements and three loops (D, anti-codon, and T loops). Further hydrogen bonds mediate the characteristic L-shaped molecular structure. tRNAs have two regions of fundamental functional importance: the anti-codon, which is responsible for specific mRNA codon recognition, and the 3' end, to which the tRNAs corresponding amino acid is attached (by aminoacyl-tRNA synthetases). tRNAs cope with the degeneracy of the genetic code in two manners: having more than one tRNA (with a specific anti-codon) for a particular amino acid; and 'wobble' base-pairing, i.e. permitting non-standard base-pairing at the 3rd anti-codon position. Lineage: Eukaryota; Metazoa; Chordata; Mammalia; Rodentia; Muridae. The record is from Rfam by way of RNAcentral.
AGCUCAGCAGUAUAGCGCUUGCCUGGUAUGCAUGAGGCCCUGGGUUCGAUCCCCAG